RNAcentral lists this small nucleolar RNA (136 nucleotides) under Gouania willdenowi (blunt-snouted clingfish). The record is from RNAcentral. Lineage: Eukaryota; Metazoa; Chordata; Actinopteri; Blenniiformes; Gobiesocidae.
UUCGGCUCCUAUCGAAGCCCUUUGUGCCCUAUAUGGCAGUUAAGGGUCAACAGGAAGCCAAAAGCAACACUUUCACCGACGGUCGCUGUUCAGUUUCAAAGUAACUGUUUCAGCAACAUUAAGGGGAAGGAUAGUU